RNAcentral lists this ribosomal RNA (774 nucleotides) under uncultured bacterium. Its description in RNAcentral is "bacterial SSU rRNA". It matches the Rfam family "Bacterial small subunit ribosomal RNA", at positions 59 to 872 of the family's 1533-position model. The record is from RNAcentral.
AAGUCAAGGGGGCUCGCAGGAGCAACCGGGGUACCAAGUGGUAAUAAAGAAGAUCGUACAUCGGAAUCGGGCCUAGCCUCGCGAAAGACGGGGUAUUUCCCGAUAGUCUCCCAGGAGUAAAGGUUUCUCGCAUCCGAGGACGAUUUCUUCAGCUUCAGCUAUUUGGUCGGGCGAUGGCUUACCAAGGCUAUGACGCCGAAGGGACUUGACAGGGUGACCCCCACCGAUUGGACUGAGAUGCGGACCAUACACCUGCGGACUGGCUGCAGACCACAAUUCCUACAAUGGGCGAAAGCCUGAUCUUAUCGACCCCGCGUGCAGGAUGAGAUGCUUCGGUCUGUAAACUCCUUUUGCCACGGAAGAAUUCUAUUGACUGUACCUGGAAAAUAAGAGGUUGCUAAACUCUUGCUCGCAGCAGCGGUAAUACGAUUGCAUCGAGCGUUAUCCGGAAUCAUUGGGCGUACAGGGUGUGUAGGCGGCGUUGUUAGUCUCGUCGUAAAUUCCGUGGCUCAACCGUGGGCUCGCACGAGAAAGGGCAAAUCUUUAGAUUGGCAGGGGUCACGAGAAAUUUAGGUGUAGCGCAGAAAAGCGUUGAUAUAUAGGGGAACACCAAAAGGGAAGGCAGGAUACCGGGCCAUUUCAGAGGCUGUAACACGAAAGAGUGGGUAGAGAAAGCGAUUAGAUAUCCCAGUGGUGCACGCCCUAAAAGAUAAUUUAUCGGUUUGAGGAGUAUCCACCGUCUUAGAGACCAAGCAAACGCGUUAAGAGAUCCGC